Molecule: long non-coding RNA, 1776 nt
Organism: Oncorhynchus tshawytscha (Chinook salmon)
Lineage: Eukaryota; Metazoa; Chordata; Actinopteri; Salmoniformes; Salmonidae
Source: Ensembl
CCCUGUUUCUCUCUCUCACUUAAAUCCCUGUUUCUCUCUCUCACUUAAAUCCCUGUUUCUCUCUCUCACUUAAAUCCCUGUUUCUCUCUCUCACUUAUAUCCCUGUUUCUCUCUCUCACUUAUAUCCCUCUCUCACUUAUAUCCCUGUUUCUCUCUCUCACUUAAAUCCCUGUUUCUCUCUCUCACUUAAAUCCCUGUAUCUCUCUCACUUAUAUCCCUGUUUUUCUCUCUCACUUAAAUCCCUGUUCCUCUCUCUCACUUAUAUCCCUGUUUCUCACUCACUUAUAUCCCUGUUUCUCUCUUAUAUCCCUGUUUUUCUCUCUCACUUAUAUCCCUGUUUCUCUCUCUCACUUAUAUCCCUGUUUCUCUCUCACUUAAAUCCCUGUUUCUCUCUCUCACUUAUAUCCCUGUUUCUCUCUCACUUAUAUCCCUGUUUCUCUCUCACUUAUAUCCCUGUUUCUCUCUCACUUAUAUCCCUGUUUCUCUCUCACUUAAAUCCCUGUUUCUCACUUAUAUCCCUGUUUCUCUCUUAUAUCCCUGUUUUUCUCUCUCACUUAUAUCCCUGUUUCUCUCUCACUUAUAUCCCUGUUUCUCUCUCUCUCUUUUCACUCUGUUUUCGGAUGUGGUGACCCUUACUGCUUAGACUGUAAACUCUCUUUCCAGACUCACAUCAAACAUCUCCAAUCCAAAGUUAAAUCUAGAAUUGGCUUCCUAUUUCACAAAAAAGCAUCCUUCACUCAUGCUGCCAAACAUACCCUUGUAAAACUGUCCAUCCUACCGAUCCUCGACUUCGGCGAUGUCAUUUACAAAAUAGCCUCCAAUACCCUACUCAAUAAAUUGGAUUUAGUCUAUCACAGUGCCAUCCGUUUUGUCACCAAAGCCCCAUAUACUACCCACCAUUGCGACCUGUACGCUCUCGUUGGCUGGCCCUCGCUUCAUACUCGUCGCCAAACCCACUGGCUCCAGGUCAUCUACAAGACCCUGCUAAGUAAAGUCCCCCCUUAUCUCAGCUCGCUGGUCACCAUAGCAGAACCCACCUGUAGCACACGCUCCAGCAGGUAUAUCUCUCUGGUCACCCCCAAAACCAAUUAUUCCUUUGGCCGCCUCUCCUUCCAGUUCUCUGCUGCCAAUGACUGGAACGAAAUACAAAAAUCUCUGAAACUGGAAACACUUAUCUCCCUCAGUAGCUUUAAGUACCAGCUGUCAGAGCAGCUCACAGAUUACUGCACCUGUACAUAGCCCACCUAUAAUUUAGCCCAAACAACUACCUCUCCCCCUACUGUAUUUAUUUUGCUCCAAAAAGCACCCCAUUAUUUCUAUCUCUACUUUGCACAUUCUUCCACUGCAAAUCAACCAUUCCAGUGUUUUACUUGCUAUAUUGUAUUUACUUUGCCACCAUGGCCUUUUUUUGCCUUUACCUCCCUUAUCUUACCUCAUUUGCUCACAUUGUAUAUAGACUUAUUUUUCUACUGUAUUAUUGACUGUAUGUUUGUUUUACUCCAUGUGUAACUCUGUGUCGUUGUAUGUGUCGCACUGCUUUGCUUUAUCUUGGCCAGGUCGCAGUUGUAAAUGAGAACUUGUUCUCAACUUGCCUACCUGGUUAAAUAAAGGUGAAAUAAAAAAAAUAAAAAAAUAAAAACUGCCUGGAGACUCGCUCUCUCCUCCUCUUUCUCCCCUCUCUCCUAAUCUUUCUCCCCUCUCUCCUCUCUUCUCCUCUUUCUCCUCUCUCUCCACCCCCCUUCUCUCUCCUCCUCUUUCUCCUCUCUCUCCACCCCC